AUGUGUGGCGGCGCGAUCAUCUCCGACUUCACCCCGGAGCGCGACCACCGCGGCGGCAGCAAGCGCAGCCUCUGCACCGCCGACUUCUGGCCGCAUGCCGCCGCCGCGUUCGACGACCCUACCGGCCACCACGACUUCUACCCAGCCGACCUGACCGGCGCCUGCUCGUUCCCUCCCCAGCACCAAGCAGCUGCGGCAGGGGAGGAGCCGAGCAGGAAGCGGGAGCGCAAGACGAUGUACCGCGGCAUCCGGCGGCGGCCCUGGGGCAAGUGGGCGGCGGAGAUCCGCGACCCGGCCAAGGGCGCGCGCGUCUGGCUCGGCACCUUCGCCACCGCCGAGGGCGCCGCCCGCGCCUACGACCGCGCCGCCCGCCGCAUCCGCGGGACCAAGGCCAAGGUCAACUUCCCCAACGAGGACCCGCCGCUCGACCUGGACGACUACGACGUCGCCAACGUCGCCGGCUUCUUCCACCAGCCGUCGUACAUGGCCGAUGCCGCCGCGCCGGCGACGGAGGUGGCGUACGCGCACCAGCUGCCCCAGCAGGACGAGCCCGGGAUGGAGCUCUGGAACUUUGACAACAUCAACACGCAAGUGAUAUAG
Molecule: ribosomal RNA, 600 nt
Filed under: Triticum aestivum (bread wheat)
Lineage: Eukaryota; Viridiplantae; Streptophyta; Magnoliopsida; Poales; Poaceae
Description: partial small subunit ribosomal RNA
Source: RNAcentral